UUCCGCAAUGGACGAAAGUCUGACGGAGCAACGCCGCGUGAGUGAUGACGGCCUUCGGGUUGUAAAGCUCUGUUAAUCGGGACGAAAGGCCUUCUUGCGAAUAGUGAGAAGGAUUGACGGUACCGGAAUAGAAAGCCACGGCUAACUACGUGCCAGCAGCCGCGGUAAUACGUAGGUGGCAAGCGUUGUCCGGAAUUAUUGGGCGUAAAGCGCGCGCAGGCGGAUAGGUCAGUCUGUCUUAAAAGUUCGGGGCUUAACCCCGUGAUGGGAUGGAAACUGCCAAUCUAGAGUAUCGGAGAGGAAAGUGGAAUUCCUAGUGUAGCGGUGAAAUGCGUAGAUAUUAGGAAGAACACCAGUGGCGAAGGCGACUUUCUGGACGAAAACUGACGCUGAGGCGCGAAAGCCAGGGGAGCGAACGGGAUUAGAUACCCCGGUAGUCCUGGCCAUAAACGAUGGGUACUAGGUGUAGGAGGUAUCGACCCCUUCUGUGCCGGAGUUACGCAUAAGUCCCCGCCUGGGGAGUACGACCGCAAGGUUGAAACUCAAAGGAAUUGACGGGGGCCCGCACAAGCGGUGGA
Molecule: ribosomal RNA, 578 nt
Filed under: Veillonella dispar
Lineage: Bacteria; Bacillati; Bacillota; Negativicutes; Veillonellales; Veillonellaceae
Description: bacterial SSU rRNA
Rfam family: Bacterial small subunit ribosomal RNA
Source: RNAcentral